GUGUCAGCCGCCGCGGUAAUACGUAGGGGGCUAGCGUUAUCCGGAAUUACUGGGCGUAAAGGGUGCGUAGGUGGUUUCUUAAGUCAGAGGUGAAAGGCUACGGCUCAACCGUAGUAAGCCUUUGAAACUGGGAAACUUGAGUGCAGGAGAGGAGAGUGGAAUUCCUAGUGUAGCGGUGAAAUGCGUAGAUAUUAGGAGGAACACCAGUUGCGAAGGCGGCUCUCUGGACUGUAACUGACACUGAGGCACGAAAGCGUGGGGAGCAAACAGGAUUAGAUACCCCGGUAGUCC
Molecule: ribosomal RNA, 291 nt
Filed under: uncultured bacterium
Lineage: Bacteria
Description: partial 16S ribosomal RNA
Rfam family: Bacterial small subunit ribosomal RNA
Source: RNAcentral